Daphnia magna is the source of this 708-nucleotide long non-coding RNA. RefSeq lists it as uncharacterized. The record is from RefSeq and is a predicted model, not a curated record. Lineage: Eukaryota; Metazoa; Arthropoda; Branchiopoda; Diplostraca; Daphniidae. The transcript has 2 exons.
CUUGCUUUUGCUCUCUCCGUUUCAUCCGUUUUCCUUUCAAAUACUGCACCGAGUGCCGUAAUAGUCACGGUCUGGUUCUCCAGUUUCUUUCCACUUUUCUGUUGUGUUUCGUUCGACAUCUCGCCCUUCGGACAGUACAUAGACCCCAGCAGCGUCCAACUCCGCCUUAUUUGCUACGUCUUUAGGCGAUUGCCAUCGAUCUCCGAUCUUCACGGACCCCUCCCUUCUAGACUUUUUAUUUUAUUUUAUUUAUUUAUUUUUGGCUUUCUUUUGCUUUUUUAUUUAUUUAUUUUUUUGUUGGCACUCUUUACUUUUACUUGAAAUCGUGAAACUCGAUAGUCAUAUUAUUGUUUCGCUACAGCUCUUCUGAUUUACUCCAACAGUCGUCAUCCAUUCUUUUUCCAACUUCAAGAGCCGAGCGAAGCGGAUAUUGUCACAUCGUUUGUAUUUGGUUUACUGUUUAGUAUUCUUCCGUUUUCCUGCGAAUCCGUACCCUGUUUUCUGUUUGCUUUUUUUGAGCCGUAAGACUUAUUGGACAGAAAGAUGGAUUUCAUAAUGUUUUCAUUGUGACGCACACAGUCACGAUCGGCUGGCAACGUACGGAAGAUGAACUGCCCACAGACGUUCAUUCUUCAUUGAUCCUUCCUUUCAUCUUUUGGGAUUAAACCCGCCCUUCCGGCAUCCGUCGUCGUUAUGGCUCAAAACGGA